RNAcentral lists this ribosomal RNA (482 nucleotides) under uncultured bacterium. RNAcentral's name for it is "partial 16S ribosomal RNA". It matches the Rfam family "Bacterial small subunit ribosomal RNA", at positions 29 to 507 of the family's 1533-position model. The record is from RNAcentral.
AUUGAACGCUCGCGGCAUGCCUUACACAUGCAAGUCGAACGGCAGCACGGGGCAACCUGGUGGCGAGUGGCGAACGGGUGAGUAAUGUAUCGGAACGUGCCCAGUAGCGGGGGAUAACUACGCGAAAGCGUAGCUAAUACCGCAUACGCCCUACGGGGGAAAGGGGGGGAUCGCAAGACCUCUCACUAUUGGAGCGGCCGAUAUCGGAUUAGCUAGUUGGUGAGGUAAAGGCUCACCAAGGCUUCGAUCCGUAGCUGGUUUGAGAGGACGACCAGCCACACUGGGACUGAGACACGGCCCAGACUCCUACGGGAGGCAGCAGUGGGGAAUUUUGGACAAUGGGGGCAACCCUGAUCCAGCAAUGCCGCGUGUGCGAAGAAGGCCUUCGGGUUGUAAAGCACUUUUGGCGGGAACGAAACGGUGCCGGAUAAUACCUGGCGCCACUGACGGUACCCGCAGAAUAAGCACCGGCUAACUACGUG